Molecule: long non-coding RNA, 921 nt
Organism: Acipenser ruthenus (sterlet)
Lineage: Eukaryota; Metazoa; Chordata; Actinopteri; Acipenseriformes; Acipenseridae
Exons: 3
Source: RefSeq, a predicted model, not a curated record
AAAAAAAAAGGUUUGGAACCAGGGGGUUCCUGGCUUUAAAUCCAAGCUCAUCCACUGACUCAUUGUGUGACCUUGAUAAAGCACACUUAACUUCCUUAUGCUCUGUCUUUAGGAUGAGGUGUGGUAAUCUGAUCUAUGGUACAAUGUGCUUUAUUUUUUAAAUGUGUUCAUCGGCGAGGGACUUGUCAGUCGUUGCUCCAAAUAUGUGGAGGAGGCACAUCUGGCAGGAGUCUAAUCCCAACAAAGAAGCUUUAUGAUAUCAUAGCAGCUGUGAAGAGAGAAUACCCUGGAACGCAUGACACUGCUAUCAAGCUAGCCAUUAGGAAGAAGUUUGGCAAUGAAAUGAAGCAGCUACGGAGAAAUGAAAAUAGUAUAAUUAUUCCUCAAUACAAAAAUAGCUUAUAGUUUUCUACUUUUAACUUCGACUUGUUGUUUUUCUGUAUCACGUUUAGAUAUGUUUUAGUUAAUUUUCACAUUUUAGUUUAACAGAGGUAAUUACAGUAGUUUUAAAUGUAAAUGGUUUCUUAUUUGUAACUCAUCUGUUACUUGUAACUAGGAACCUAUUCCUUUAACUUUGCGGUCCAUUGUCGGACUGGGUCCGACAUUGCAAUUAUUCCUCACAGGUCCUUUGUCGGACUGGGUCCGACAUCAUUAUAGCAACGCAAUAAACGGGUGUUUAGUCGUUUUUUCUCCGGAAAAAGCCGAGAAAACCAUUCAAUUGCCGAGUGGUAGCGACAGGAGCCGAGACAAGUCGGAAAAAAAAAAUAAAAAAUAAAAAAGGCGUAUUUCAUGAAUAGUCAUACAUGGUAUCAGGUAUCAGAUAAUGGGCGUCCAUAAUAAACAAGCUGGCUAAGUGCGUCAGCGCACUGAGACUAUCAUGGACAUUUGCAGAGCUUUUUUCAGAUGUUAUAGUAAUAAAAU